GACGAACGCUGGCGGCGUGCUUAACACAUGCAAGUCGAACGGAAAGGCCCUGCUUUUGUGGGGUGCUCGAGUGGCGAACGGGUGAGUAACACGUGAGUAACCUGCCCUUGACUUUGGGAUAACUUCAGGAAACUGGGGCUCAUACCGGAUAGGAGCUCCUGCUGCAUGGUGGGGGUUGGAAAGUUUCGGCGGUUGGGGAUGGACUCGCGGCUUAUCAGCUUGUUGGUGGGGUAGUGGCUUACCAAGGCUUUGACGGGUAGCCGGCCUGAGAGGGUGACCGGCCACAAUGGGACUGAGAUACGGCCCAGACUCCUACGGGAGGCAGCAGUGGGGAAUAUUGCACAAUGGGCGGAAGCCUGAUGCAGCAACGCCGCGUGCGGGAUGACGGCCUUCGGGGUGUAAACCGCUUUCGCCUGUGACGAAGCGUGAGUGACGGUAAUGGGUAAAGAAGCACCGGCUAACUACGUG
RNAcentral lists this ribosomal RNA (468 nucleotides) under uncultured bacterium. RNAcentral describes it as "partial 16S ribosomal RNA". It matches the Rfam family "Bacterial small subunit ribosomal RNA", at positions 28 to 507 of the family's 1533-position model. The record is from RNAcentral.